UACGGCUCAGUAACACGUGGACAACCUGCCUUAGGACGGGGAUAAACCCGGGAAACUGGGGAUAAUACCCUAUAGGUUACAGAUGCUGGAAUGCUCUGUAACCGAAAGCUCCGGCGCCUUAGGAUGGAUCUGCGGCCGAUUAGGUUGUUGUCGGGGUAACGGCCCAACAAGCCAGUAAUCGGUACGGGUUGUGGGAGCAAGAGCCCGGAGUUGGAUUCUGAGACACGAAUCCAGGCCCUACGGGGCGCAGCAGGCGCGAAAACUUUACAAUGCGGGCAACCGUGAUAAGGGAACCUCGAGUGCCUGUAUAUGCAGGCUGUCUGGGUGUCUAAAACACACCUAAAGAAAGGGCCGGGCAAGACCGGUGCCAGCCGCCGCGGUAAUACCGGCGGCUCGAGUGGUGGCCACUUUUAUUGGGCUUAAAGCGUUCGUAGCUGGGUUAUUAAGUCCCUUGGGAAAUCCGACGGCUUAACCGUCGGGCGUCUAAGGGAUACUGGCAAUCUUGGAACCGGGAGAGGUGAGGGGUACUUCGGGGGUAGGAGUGAAAUCCUGUAAUCCUCGAGGGACCACCUGUGGCGAAGGCGCCUCACCAGAACGGCUUCGACAGUGAGGGACGAAAGCUGGGGGAGCAAACCGGAUUAGAUACCCGGGUAGUCCCAGCCGUAAACGAUGUGCGUUAGGUGUAUCGGUGACCACGAGUCACCGAGGUGCCGAAGGGAAACCGUGAAACGUACCGCCUGGGAAGUACGGUCGCAAGGCUGAAACUUAAAGGAAUUGGCGGGGGAGCAC
Molecule: ribosomal RNA, 789 nt
Filed under: methanogenic prokaryote enrichment culture J0704736_A19-48_M13F-47
Description: bacterial SSU rRNA
Rfam family: Archaeal small subunit ribosomal RNA
Source: RNAcentral